GAAGAAAUGCUGAAUUGAAAUAAAAAGCCAUCUGGGCAUGCUACAACAGAUCCUGAGCAGCACGCUAGCACAGGCUGGAGGAGCGAAAAGAGAGAGAGGGACAGAGAGAGAGAGAGAGAGAGAGAGAGAGAGAUGAACUAGAAGGAUCCUGCAUCCCAAGUUCCUAGACAAUAUUUGCAGUAAAGGAGAAUCAGAGUACGGCGAAAAUGAACGGACAGAACGUUCUGAAGGAGGGGCAGUUGGAGAAGAGGAGCGACGGCUUAUUGCAGCUUUGGAAAAGGAAGAACUGCCUGUUGACGGACGAGGGGCUGUGCAUCCACGAUCCGAAGGCAAGCCGGUCAAAAUGCAAAGUGCUCGCCUUUGAAAACAUGAAGACGGUGGACUGCGUGGAGAGGAAAGGCAGAUACAUCUAUUUCACCAUCGUGAUGGCAGAUAACAAGGAAAUUGACUUCAGGUGCCUGGAAGACUCGACGUGGAACGCCGAGAUCACACUGGGCAUGGUGCAGUUUAAGAACCGCCAGGCGAUUCAGUCUGUGAAAUCCCGACAGCUGGCUCACAUCUGCACGCCAACUGCAAUCAGCACCAUGUCCUGAUCCAAAGACACCAGGGUGAGUUGGUGGUCAGCAGAAUGCUUCUUUGUCGCAUCACCGCCGCCUUCUCCCACUGAAGGCUGCGUGUUGUUUACCAGUAUUAACAAUAUGCAAAAGAAAUGAACAAUACUUCACCUGCAACCAAACAAUACUGAAUGGACAGGAUUAAUUGUGUCUGCUGCCAUCAAUAAGAAUAUACAUCAGUUCAACCAAAUGACAAUCAUGAAUCAAAAUAGAUGUAUUUUCAUGAAAAGGACUAUAAUAAUUUAGAAACAGAUUCAUUAUUCACAAAAUGCUUCUAAGUCUUAAUUUUUUAUUUAUUAAAUGACCAAUAUUCACUGUAGUGAUGACUUCAUUAAAGUCAUGCAUAAUACAUUGUAAAUUACUCUGCCGACUUUAUUUAUUUAGAUAUAUUGUCUUUCCAAUGCUUCACAUUGUGAUUUUACUCUGCCAAAAGGGAAAUCUUGCAAUCUGUAUGACAGUUUUUUUGUCUGAAACGCUGUAAAUAAAAACAGAUGACUACG
RNA transcript from Hypanus sabinus (Atlantic stingray), 1114 nucleotides. It is a transcript of the gene named pleckstrin homology-like domain family A member 2, with no coding region annotated. The record is from RefSeq and is a predicted model, not a curated record. NCBI's taxonomy places the organism in Eukaryota, Metazoa, Chordata, Chondrichthyes, Myliobatiformes, Dasyatidae. The transcript has 2 exons.